Long non-coding RNA from Nasonia vitripennis (jewel wasp), 598 nucleotides. RefSeq lists it as uncharacterized. NCBI's taxonomy places the organism in Eukaryota, Metazoa, Arthropoda, Insecta, Hymenoptera, Pteromalidae. The record is from RefSeq and is a predicted model, not a curated record. The transcript has 2 exons.
GCUGAAUCGAGUAUCGAGUGCGCGACGGGAACAAUUUUUCUGGUUUCUUGGUGUAGUUUUAAUAAAAGGUUGUUGUUUGUUUUGUAGAGUUUCGAUAGCAAGCGGCAGUAAAAAAAUCGACCUGAUCCAAUCCUGCGAAAAAUUUUGAGCAAAAGAUCAUGACUGAUAAGGAUCCAGCGAAAGCACCCAAAAUCGUUUCCUAACAGCAGCUUAUCAAGAAGCAAACGUUAACGCCGAAUCAGCAGCGCGGGACUCUAAAAUCGAUGAAAAAUCAAGGGAAAGAGAAACGACCGUCCGAACUACCGCGCUGCCGUUGCAAGUCUCUCGUGUACACCUGAAGAAUACAAAUAGCCACGGUAAACUUUUCCGCGAAACUUGUGGUUGCGUUGUAGCGGCUUUUCUUACAGCUACCAGAUAGCAGAAGCAAGGGGAAGAUUUGUUAAUGCCGCGCUCGGCCUGGUGAACGUAAAUAAAGCGACCCAACGUGUUCUGGCAUAGAAGAUCAAAAAUGCGAUGUAUUGUAAAGAACAUACUGAAUCAUUGAUGAUAUUUUGAGAAAGAUUUACGCUGGUAAAAAUUAAAAAUAAUUUGCCUUAAA